This 80-nucleotide small RNA is filed under the name Methylobacterium phyllosphaerae. RNAcentral's name for it is "suhB". It matches the Rfam family "Makes More Granules Regulator RNA (mmgR)". Rfam says of the family: SuhB later renamed mmgR (makes more granules regulator) was a putative non-coding RNA found multiple times in the Agrobacterium tumefaciens genome and related alpha-proteobacteria. Lineage: Bacteria; Pseudomonadati; Pseudomonadota; Alphaproteobacteria; Hyphomicrobiales; Methylobacteriaceae. The record is from RNAcentral.
CUUCCGUGCCCAUGGCGGGCGUUUCCUCCCUUCGACUUGAGGCCCCGUCCGAUCCCGGACGGGGCCUUCUUAUGUGGACC